RNAcentral lists this ribosomal RNA (421 nucleotides) under uncultured bacterium. Its description in RNAcentral is "bacterial SSU rRNA". It matches the Rfam family "Bacterial small subunit ribosomal RNA", at positions 29 to 496 of the family's 1533-position model. The record is from RNAcentral.
AACGAACGCUGGCGGCAGGCUUAACACAUGCAAGUCGAACGCUCUGCUUGCAGAGCGUGGCGCACGGGUGAGGAACGCGUGGGAACGUACCCUGUAGUACGGAAUAACUCCGGGAAACUGGUGACAAUACCGUAUACGCCCUUCGGGGAAAGGUUUACCGCUAUAGGAUCGGCCCGCGCGAGAUUAGCUUGUUGGUGAGGUAAUGGCUCACCAAGGCGACGAUCUCUAGCUGGUCUGAGAGGAUGAUCAGCCACACUGGGACUGAGACACGGCCCAGACUCCUACGGGAGGCAGCAGUGAGGAAUAUUGGACAAUGGAGGAAACUCUGAUCCAGCCAUGCCGCGUGAAUGAUGAAGGCCUUAGGGUUGUAAAGUUCUUUCACGGGUGAAGAUAAUGACGGUAACCCGAGAAGAAGCCCCGG